CCUUGAUAAAAAGAUUUGAUCUUUUUGUAUCUUACAGGACCCAGAUAUCAAGUGCUAGGCUGGUGGUAUAUUCCUGACAGUUGCAUUCAGAAAUCUAUAGGCUACCAGCAAAGAUUGAGACACAAGGAGAAAAUUCAGAGAAAAUGGGAAACAAAAUGGAAGCAAAGAUUUGAAAUGCUAACUUUGAUUCUUCCUCAGAGCUUUGUGCCUGGAAAAAAGAACAACACAUUAACUUAGGAGCCACUCUAAAAUCUGCACAACAUAGGUUGCACUUCCUUCAUAUGACUUGUCUGUGCCUGGAUCCUGCAGUGUGAUGAAGAACACCACCUACCCUGUGGCCAUCACCUUCUGGGAGCUUCUAGGGAGCCUGGAAAUGGAAUUUGAGGAGUCAAAUCCCACAAGAAAAGUUCUUUUUGAAGCACUUCCAAACCAAUCUGGAAAAAAAAAGAAACACAACUUCAGAGAAUUUAGGACAGCCUUUCAUAAACAUCAAAACAUUUUUGUUCUGUUUACUGACAAUUUACUGCAAGAGAUUUGACAUUAAAUCUUUAGCAGUAGUAUCUUAGGGAAAUACCAGCAUUAGAUUGUAUGUGAUGUCUUAGGCUUAGUGCAUGAGGAAACAAGAGUAAGCCCACAGAAGUACAUUUCUAUCUCAGGCAAUCUGCAACCUCAAUCUGUGAUCAAUUAAAAUAAAUGUGUAUCUGUUGGAUUUAUUAUUUGCA
RNAcentral lists this long non-coding RNA (722 nucleotides) under Anser brachyrhynchus (Pink-footed goose). RNAcentral's name for it is "lncRNA (ENSABRG00000003965.1)". The record is from RNAcentral. Lineage: Eukaryota; Metazoa; Chordata; Aves; Anseriformes; Anatidae.